This is a long non-coding RNA of Rhipicephalus microplus (southern cattle tick), 344 nucleotides long. RefSeq lists it as uncharacterized. Lineage: Eukaryota; Metazoa; Arthropoda; Arachnida; Ixodida; Ixodidae. The record is from RefSeq and is a predicted model, not a curated record.
AGCAGCACUCACACAUAUUUUCAAAGAAGAAACUCUGCAUGCAAGAGAAGGGCGACAUAACAUGCUCCAAUCAGCUCUUCAAGACGCCUUUCUGCAACCUCCGACCAUUUUCCAGCGUCCAGAUGAUCAUCCACACCAAACGACAGGCCAAAGACAUUCUCGAGAAAGACAGGAUGCACAAGAACAGAAAUUGGACAUGAAAAAGCCUGAACGAAGAUACGAAAAUACAGAAUUGAUUUUAUAUUAUGCAGAGAUCCAAGCUUAGUGCAGGACACCAGAUGUAAUAUGCUAAAUAAAGUGUCGGUACGACAAACUGAUAAGGGCACAAAUAGCCUCGAGAAAAA